AACUGUUCCGGUGGCCUAGUGGUUAGAGCGUCCGCCUCGGAUGCGGGAGGUCGUGGGUUCGAUCCCCGGUCGAGUCA
Non-coding RNA from Potamilus streckersoni, 77 nucleotides. Lineage: Eukaryota; Metazoa; Mollusca; Bivalvia; Unionida; Unionidae. The record is from the annotation of a GenBank genome assembly.